UAGUCCUAGUCGUAAACGAUGGACACUAGGUGUUGGAGGAGUCUACCCCUUCAGUGCCGCAGCUAAUGCAUUAAGUGUCCCACCUGGGGAGUACGAUCGCAAGGUUGAAACUCAAAGGAAUUGACGGGGGCCCGCACAAGCGGUGGAGCAUGUGGUUUAAUUCGACGCAACGCGAAGAACCUUACCUGGGCUUGACAUGCAGGGGACAGGUGUAGAAAUACAUCCUUCUUCGGACUCCUGUACAGGUGCUGCAUGGCUGUCGUCAGCUCGUGUCGUGAAAUGUUAGGUUAAGUCCUGCAACGAGCGCAACCCUUGCCCCUAGUUACAAGUGUCUAGGGGGACUGCCGGUGAUAAAUCGGAGGAAGGUGGGGAUGACGUCAAGUCAGCAUGGCCUUUAUAUCCAGGGCUACACACACGCUACAAUGGCCGGUACAAUGAGUAGCGAAGCCGCGAGGAAGAGCGAAUCUCGAAAGCCGGUCGUAGUUCGAAUUGUAGGCUGCAAC
This 503-nucleotide ribosomal RNA is filed under the name uncultured bacterium. Its description in RNAcentral is "bacterial SSU rRNA". It matches the Rfam family "Bacterial small subunit ribosomal RNA", at positions 791 to 1311 of the family's 1533-position model. The record is from RNAcentral.